Molecule: ribosomal RNA, 468 nt
Filed under: uncultured bacterium
Lineage: Bacteria
Description: partial 16S ribosomal RNA
Rfam family: Bacterial small subunit ribosomal RNA
Source: RNAcentral
GACGAACGCUGGCGGCGUGCUUAACACAUGCAAGUCGAACGGAAAGGCCCUGCUUUUGUGGGGUGCUCGAGUGGCGAACGGGUGAGUAACACGUGAGUAACCUGCCCUUGACUUUGGGAUAACUUCAGGAAACUGGGGCUAAUACCGGAUAGGAGCUCCUGCUGCAUGGUGGGGGUUGGAAAGGUUGGGCGGUUGGGGAUGGACUCGCGGCUUGUCAGCUUGUUGGUGGGGUAGUGGCUUACCAAGGCUUUGACGGGUAGCCGGCCUGAGAGGGUGACCGGCCACAUUGGGACUGAGAUACGGCCCAGACUCCUACGGGAGGCAGCAGUGGGGAAUAUUGCACAAUGGGCGGAAGCCUGAUGCAGCAACGCCGCGUGCGGGAUGACGGCCUUCGGGUUGUAAACCGCUUUCGCCUGUGACGAAGCGUGAGUGACGGUAAUGGGUAAAGAAGCACCGGCUAACUACGUG